Molecule: ribosomal RNA, 498 nt
Filed under: uncultured bacterium
Lineage: Bacteria
Description: partial 16S ribosomal RNA
Rfam family: Bacterial small subunit ribosomal RNA
Source: RNAcentral
AUUGAACGCUAGCGGCAUGCCUUACACAUGCAAGUCGAACGGUAACAGGUCUUCGGAUGCUGACGAGUGGCGAACGGGUGAGUAAUACAUCGGAACGUGCCUAGUAGUGGGGGAUAACUACUCGAAAGAGUGGCUAAUACCGCAUGAGAUCUACGGAUGAAAGCAGGGGAUCGCAAGACCUGGUGCUACUAGAGCGGCCGAUGGCAGAUUAGGUAGUUGGUGGGAUAAAAGCUUAUCAAGCCAGCGAUAUGUAGCUGGUCUGAGAGGACGAUCAGCCACAUUGGGACUGAGACACGGCCCAGACUCCUACGGGAGGCAGCAGUGGGGAAUUUUGGACAAUGGGCGCAAGCCUGAUCCAGCAAUGCCGCUUGCAGGAUGAAGGCCUUCGGGUUGUAAACUGCUUUUGUACGGAACGAAAAGCCCCGGGUUAAUACCCUGGGGUCAUGACGGUACCGUAAGAAUAAGCACCGGCUAACUACGUGCCAGCCACCGCCGUAA